UACGAAGGGGGCUAGCGUUGUUCGGAAUUACUGGGCGUAAAGGGCGCGUAGGCGGUCCCUCAAGUCAGGCGUGAAAGCCCCGGGCUCAACCUGGGAACCGCGCUUGAGACUGAUGGGCUAGAGUUCGGGAGAGGAUGGUGGAAUUCCCAGUGUAGAGGUGAAAUUCGUAGAUAUUGGGAAGAACACCGAUGGCGAAGGCAGCCAUCUGGACCGACACUGACGCUGAGGCGCGAAAGCGUGGGGAGCAAACAGG
This 253-nucleotide ribosomal RNA is filed under the name uncultured bacterium. RNAcentral describes it as "partial 16S ribosomal RNA". It matches the Rfam family "Bacterial small subunit ribosomal RNA", at positions 524 to 776 of the family's 1533-position model. The record is from RNAcentral.